RNAcentral lists this ribosomal RNA (1439 nucleotides) under Klebsiella pneumoniae. Its description in RNAcentral is "bacterial SSU rRNA". The record is from RNAcentral. Lineage: Bacteria; Pseudomonadati; Pseudomonadota; Gammaproteobacteria; Enterobacterales; Enterobacteriaceae.
AUGCAAGUCGAGCGGUAGCACARAGAGCUUGCUCUCGGGUGACGAGCGGCGGACGGGUGAGUAAUGUCUGGGAAACUGCCUGAUGGAGGGGGAUAACUACUGGAAACGGUAGCUAAUACCGCAUAAUGUCGCAAGACCAAAGUGGGGGACCUUCGGGCCUCAUGCCAUCAGAUGUGCCCAGAUGGGAUUAGCUAGUAGGUGGGGUAACGGCUCACCUAGGCGACGAUCCCUAGCUGGUCUGAGAGGAUGACCAGCCACACUGGAACUGAGACACGGUCCAGACUCCUACGGGAGGCAGCAGUGGGGAAUAUUGCACAAUGGGCGCAAGCCUGAUGCAGCCAUGCCGCGUGUGUGAAGAAGGCCUUCGGGUUGUAAAGCACUUUCAGCGGGGAGGAAGGCGAUAAGGUUAAUAACCUUGUCGAUUGACGUUACCCGCAGAAGAAGCACCGGCUAACUCCGUGCCAGCAGCCGCGGUAAUACGGAGGGUGCAAGCGUUAAUCGGAAUUACUGGGCGUAAAGCGCACGCAGGCGGUCUGUCAAGUCGGAUGUGAAAUCCCCGGGCUCAACCUGGGAACUGCAUUCGAAACUGGCAGGCUAGAGUCUUGUAGAGGGGGGUAGAAUUCCAGGUGUAGCGGUGAAAUGCGUAGAGAUCUGGAGGAAUACCGGUGGCGAAGGCGGCCCCCUGGACAAAGACUGACGCUCAGGUGCGAAAGCGUGGGGAGCAAACAGGAUUAGAUACCCUGGUAGUCCACGCCGUAAACGAUGUCGAUUUGGAGGUUGUGCCCUUGAGGCGUGGCUUCCGGAGCUAACGCGUUAAAUCGACCGCCUGGGGAGUACGGCCGCAAGGUUAAAACUCAAAUGAAUUGACGGGGGCCCGCACAAGCGGUGGAGCAUGUGGUUUAAUUCGAUGCAACGCGAAGAACCUUACCUGGUCUUGACAUCCACAGAACUUUCCAGAGAUGGAUUGGUGCCUUCGGGAACUGUGAGACAGGUGCUGCAUGGCUGUCGUCAGCUCGUGUUGUGAAAUGUUGGGUUAAGUCCCGCAACGAGCGCAACCCUUAUCCUUUGUUGCCAGCGGUUAGGCCGGGAACUCAAAGGAGACUGCCAGUGAUAAACUGGAGGAAGGUGGGGAUGACGUCAAGUCAUCAUGGCCCUUACGACCAGGGCUACACACGUGCUACAAUGGCAUAUACAAAGAGAAGCGACCUCGCGAGAGCAAGCGGACCUCAUAAAGUAUGUCGUAGUCCGGAUUGGAGUCUGCAACUCGACUCCAUGAAGUCGGAAUCGCUAGUAAUCGUAGAUCAGAAUGCUACGGUGAAUACGUUCCCGGGCCUUGUACACACCGCCCGUCACACCAUGGGAGUGGGUUGCAAAAGAAGUAGGUAGCUUAACCUUCGGGAGGGCGCUUACCACUUUGUGAUUCAUGACUGGGGUGAAGU